This 423-nucleotide transfer-messenger RNA is filed under the name Francisella tularensis. Its description in RNAcentral is "Standard tmRNA". It matches the Rfam family "transfer-messenger RNA". From Rfam's summary of the family: Bacterial tmRNA, also known as 10Sa RNA or SsrA, is named for its dual tRNA and mRNA-like properties. Its role is to liberate the mRNA from a stalled ribosome. RNAcentral also lists the same sequence under 1 other name. The record is from RNAcentral. Lineage: Bacteria; Pseudomonadati; Pseudomonadota; Gammaproteobacteria; Thiotrichales; Francisellaceae.
GGGGGCGAAUAUGGUUUCGACAUGAAUGUCAAAAUCUAAGGUGCAUGCCGAGGAAGUACCGUAACCUCGUUAAUAACAGUACAAAUGCCAAUAAUAACUGGCAACAAAAAAGCAAACCGCGUAGCGGCUAACGACAGCAACUUUGCUGCUGUUGCUAAAGCUGCCUAGUCUAGCUUAAUAACCUAGAUGCGCACGGAUAUGAUAGUCUUUCUUAUGACACUAUCUAUACAUCCGUUCAUAUUCCGCAUAAGACGGUCUUUGCUUUUUGUCUGGGAGUUAAGGCUGUAUUUUUAACAGACUCGCUAACUAUUACCCUGGCUAAUUGGGGAAUAGCUAAGCUAAACUCAAAUAGAUUAGCCUAAGCAUGUAGAUCCAAAGAUCUAGAGUUUAUGGACGCGGGUUCAAAUCCCGCCGCCUCCACCA